Molecule: ribosomal RNA, 329 nt
Filed under: Capnocytophaga sp. 966-8
Lineage: Bacteria; Pseudomonadati; Bacteroidota; Flavobacteriia; Flavobacteriales; Flavobacteriaceae
Description: bacterial SSU rRNA
Rfam family: Bacterial small subunit ribosomal RNA
Source: RNAcentral
GUGCGUAACGCGUAUACAAUCUGCCUUUCACUGGGGGAUAGCCCGAAGAAAUUUGGAUUAAUACCCCAUAGUAUAGUAGUGUGGCAUCACACGACUAUUAAAGCCUUGGUGGUGAAAGAUGAGUAUGCGUUCUAUUAGCUAGUUGGAGAGGUAACGGCUCCCCAAGGCGAUGAUAGAUAGGGGUUCUGAGAGGGAUGUCCCCCACACUGGUACUGAGAUACGGACCAGACUCCUACGGGAGGCAGCAGUGAGGAAUAUUGGACAAUGGUCGGAAGACUGAUCCAGCCAUGCCGCGUGCAGGAUGAAGGUCUUAUGGAUUGUAAACUGCU